AACGCAACUUGCGCCUCCCCGGAGGCAUGUCUGUUUGAGUGCCGCAAACCUCUAUGCAGCAAUGCGAUUUGAGCAGUGCCAGCAGCCUAGUGUUGGUACUAGGCACUUUGUGCUUGGUACUUUGCUAGUAUCGAGCUGCUGGCUUGGUCUAAAUGGAGCAAGACACUGGUCAUGUUGGACUGGCCCGAGUGCUAAGCAUUCUUGGGUCUGGUUCUGGCGUGGCCAGCAGCGAGUAGAGGAUAGAAGGAGGGAUAGGAGGGGAUAGAGUGUGUAAAGGAGGGAAGAGACAUCUUCUCCCCUCUACUACUCACCACCCUCCUCCUCCUCCUCCCCUCUCCUCCUACUCCACACAUACUAUUGGCCUCAAAUCAGGCAAGACUACCCGCUGAACUUAA
Molecule: unclassified non-coding RNA, 395 nt
Filed under: Fomitopsis sp.
Lineage: Eukaryota; Fungi; Basidiomycota; Agaricomycetes; Polyporales; Fomitopsidaceae
Description: partial contains 5.8S ribosomal RNA, internal transcribed spacer 2, and large subunit ribosomal RNA
Source: RNAcentral